UACAGAGGGUGCUAGCGUUGUUCGGAAUCAUUGGGCGUAAAGGGCGCGUAGGCGGCAAUUCAAGUCAGUUGUGAAAUCUCCGAGCUUAACUCGGAACGGUCAACUGAUACUGUUUUGCUAGAGUACAGAAGGGGCAAUCGGAAUUCUUGGUGUAGCGGUGAAAUGCGUAGAUAUCAAGAGGAACACCUGAGGUGAAGACGGGUUGCUGGGCUGAUACUGACGCUGAGGCGCGAAAGCGUGGGGAGCGAACAGG
Molecule: ribosomal RNA, 253 nt
Filed under: uncultured bacterium
Lineage: Bacteria
Description: partial 16S ribosomal RNA
Rfam family: Bacterial small subunit ribosomal RNA
Source: RNAcentral